CUCUGUCGCUGCCGGCCGUGGCCGGGAGAGGAAAGUCCGGGCAACGCAGAGCGCCGCGCAAGCUAAUGACUUGAUAUCCGUGAGGGUAUAGGAGCGUAACAGAAAAGAACCGCCCACAAGGGAUUUCCCGGCGGGUAAGGGUGAAAAGGCGGGGUAAGAGCCCACCGCGGGGGCAGCGAUGUCGCCCGGCAGUACGUCUCGCGGGUUGCAAGACCGUGUAUACCGGCAAUUAAGGGUUGCUCGCCCGAUGCCGGG
This 255-nucleotide RNase P RNA is filed under the name Alistipes finegoldii DSM 17242. Its description in RNAcentral is "Bacterial RNase P class A". It matches the Rfam family "Bacterial RNase P class A", at positions 14 to 268 of the family's 367-position model. Rfam says of the family: Ribonuclease P (RNase P) is a ubiquitous endoribonuclease, found in archaea, bacteria and eukarya as well as chloroplasts and mitochondria. Its best characterised activity is the generation of mature 5'-ends of tRNAs by cleaving the 5'-leader elements of precursor-tRNAs. The record is from RNAcentral. Lineage: Bacteria; Pseudomonadati; Bacteroidota; Bacteroidia; Bacteroidales; Rikenellaceae.